Molecule: transfer RNA, 92 nt
Filed under: Amycolatopsis bartoniae
Lineage: Bacteria; Bacillati; Actinomycetota; Actinomycetes; Pseudonocardiales; Pseudonocardiaceae
Description: tRNA-Pro
Source: RNAcentral
GGAGGUUCCGGGCCGGGUUCGGGUUCCGGGACCGGGAGUUCCGGGUACAGCGGCUCGGGAUCCGGUUCCGGGGCGGGGCCGGGGAGUUCCUA